Molecule: ribosomal RNA, 2638 nt
Filed under: Candida sojae
Lineage: Eukaryota; Fungi; Ascomycota; Pichiomycetes; Serinales; Debaryomycetaceae
Description: large subunit ribosomal RNA
Rfam family: Bacterial large subunit ribosomal RNA
Source: RNAcentral
ACAUGGGAAAUAGAUGUAGGAGAGGUAAUUGAAAAGAUUCACUUAAUUACAAUAACUAUUGUAUGGAAGCUAAUAUUACGAUUAGACCAAGACAAGGGAUAAGGUUAAAAUAAUAACCGAUCUAAGCUAUAAAUAGCGAGUUUAAUAGGAAGUAUCUGAAUUGAAACAUCUUAGUAAGAUAUUUAAUAAACCAAAAGGGAAUAUCUUAGUACCGGUGAGGGAAAAGAUAUAAGUAUUAAAGUAAUAUCAUGUGAUAUGAAUAAAGUAGUGCUACUACUAAUACUAUAAAAUAAUCGUAAGUAUCAAGUACCGUGAGGGAAAGGCAUAUAAAUAUGAUUUAAUUAAUGUAAUCGUUCAUGGAAGACUUAAUUUAUUAAGUUAAAUUAGAAAUGUAUCGAAGAAAUUAUAUUAAAUUUGUAUAGAAAUACAUAGUUAAAGAGCAGCUAUAGUAUAGCGUACCUCUUGUAUAAUGGGUCAGUGAGUUAUUUUUAUUAGCGAAGUAUCAACUAAAUCUAACAAGAUAAAUUAAUAAUAGUUAAUAGGAAUAGACCCGAAAGUAUAUGAUCUAUACAUUGCCAGGUUAUAUAGUUAUAAUUAUAUUAUAAUGAUUAUAGACCUAACAGGUGGGUGUUGCAAUACCUUCUGAAGAGUAAUGUAUCGAUGUGAAAGGCUACUCUCAUAUACAGAUAGCUGGUUAUCUGUGAAAUAUAUCUUAGUAUAGCAAUUAGUAAACAUCACUAGGUAAAUCACUAGAUUUGAAACAAAAUGCGCCGCCCUUGUGGGGCGCAUUCAUUUUAUGGGAGCGAUUAUAGCUUAUCAUACGGAUCUAACAUCUGAACUAGAUGUAAUGGAAAUACUAAUUAGUCAAUCUAGGUGCGAUAAGGUACCUAGAUGAGAAGGGAAUAACCUAGACUACUAUGUGUAAGUCCUAAACAAGUAUGCUAAGUGGUAUUAAACCUAUAGUAAGUAAUUACGACAUUUUAUAAGACAAUUGAUCAGUGGAUAUGAUAGUAAUCAUCUGCUAAAGAACGUGUAACAACGCAUCAAUAGACAUAAGAUAAUAGGUGUAGAUAUACAGGCCUAAGCACUUGACUGAACAGUAGAUACUUAUUUAACCAUAAGUAUAGUAACAGAUUAUGUUAUAAAUAAUAAUAACAAAGAAUAUGCUGACUUGAGUAACGUUAGAAAGGUUAAGCCUUUCCUCUUAAAAUAUAUAAGGUUUUAUUAUAAAUUAACGGUCUCUAAUGUUGAUUAUGAAGAUAAUUAACAGAUGAGUAAUAUGACUAGAAAUUAGAUUAACCGUACUGUAAACCGACACUGGUAUAUAAAUUUAUAUCUUUAAUAUAAGAUUAAAUUAAAAGAGUAUGAGCGAAGCCAUAUGAAUGAACUCGGCAAUAAGGAUAUAACUCCUUUAAUAUAGUGCGACUGUUUACCAAAAACAUAGCCUAUUGCAGUUCUGUGAAGAAUAGUAUAAUAGGUGCUACCUGCCCAGUGUUAGAGAGAUAAUACAUAAUGCUUUAAUCAACGGCGGUCUUAUCAUGAGGAUCCGAAGGUAGCGAAAUUCCUAGACGUUUAAUUGGCGUCCUGCAUGAAUGAGUACACGAUGCUAUAGAUGUAUCCAUAUGGUCCUCAGUGAAAUAGUAAUUGCAGUGAAGAUACUGUAUAGCAAUAGAUUGACGAGAAGACCCUAUACAGCUUUACUAUAGAGUUGCCCUGCUAUCUAAUUAUAUCUUAUAAAUUAUUUUAUUUAAUAGAUUAAUUCAAUAGCUAAUCUUUUUAUAUAAAGAAACAAGGUAACUUGGUUAGUUUCGAUGGGGCGUCGACAUCACAAAGAAUAACUGAUGUGUCUAUAUGACCAGGUUGUAAAUUAACUCUUAUUAAGGGUUAUACUAGAUUGAAUAGAUACAGUAAUACUAAAUGGUAAUUAGUAAUUCAUAAUCUAUAAUAAGCCGCCGCCCGCCUUCGGCGGGCGGCAGUAGAUAUGAAAGGAUAAGGAUAAUAACUUAACUGUGUUAUGAUAAAAUUACUAACAGGUAGUUUUAGUACGUAAGUAGUGUAUAGUGAACAGACAAUAACUAUAGCAAAGUAUGUCGAUAGCGAAUCAAAGUUACGUUAGGGAUAACAGGGUAAUACCGCUAGAGAGUUGAUAUCGUCAGCGGUGUUUGCCACCUCGAUGUCGUCUAGGCUCAUCCUUAUGGUCGCAGCAACUAUAAAGGGUAUGACUGUUCGUCAUUUAAGGAGCUACUUGAGAUGGGUUAAUUACGGCGUGAGCCAGUAAUGUUUCUAUCAUCUAUUGCAUUUUAAUAAAAACUAAGUUACAUGUGUACGAGAGGAUUAUGUAACCUAAACCAAUGGUGAUAACUCUUUAUUAUUAUCUAUUUUAUUCCUUUAUAAGAAUAAUCUUAAUUUAAUAACCCUUUUAUAAAGGUUGAGAUAAAUUGUUAUAAGCUAAGUCUAGUUGCAAUAAGUAUUGACAGCAUAUCAAAUACUAAGUCAAUAGUUUUUAUUUAACAAACAUUAAAGAUAAUAAUGUUUUAGUAUUCCUAAAUUAUUCAAAGGUGCUCUUUGGCAUCUUUCAGGAGAUAUAGGUAUCAAUUCUUUGAUUAUAAUACUAAUAUACAAGUACAUUUAGUACUUA